GCCUUAGUAGCUUAACAACAAAGCAUUGACCUUGUAAGCCAAAGAAUGGGAUUCACCCCUAAGGUU
RNAcentral lists this transfer RNA (66 nucleotides) under Varanus nebulosus (Clouded monitor). Its description in RNAcentral is "tRNA-Thr". It matches the Rfam family "tRNA". From Rfam's summary of the family: Transfer RNA (tRNA) molecules are approximately 80 nucleotides in length. Their secondary structure includes four short double-helical elements and three loops (D, anti-codon, and T loops). The record is from RNAcentral. Lineage: Eukaryota; Metazoa; Chordata; Lepidosauria; Squamata; Varanidae.